CCCAGUUAUAUAUUAGGUCUGCCCCAAACCCAGUUAUAUAUUAGGUCUGCCUCAAACCCAGUUAUAUAUUAGGUCUGCCUCAAACCCAGUUAUAUAUUAGGUCUGCCCCAAACCCAGUUAUAUAUUAGGUCUGCCCCAAACCCAGUUAUAUAUUAGGUCUGCCUCAAACCCAGUUAUAUAUUAGGUCUGCCCCAAACCCAGUUAUAUAUUAGGUCUGCCCCAAACCCAGUUAUAUAUUAGGUCUGCCUCAAACCCAGUUAUAUAUUAGGUCUGCCCCAAACCCAGUUAUAUAUUAGGUCUGCCCCAAACCCAGUUAUAUAUUAGGUCUGCCCCAAACCCAGUUAUAUAUUAGGUCUGCCUCAAACCCAGUUAUAUAUUAGGUCUGCCCCAAACCCAGUUAUAUAUUAGGUCUGCCUCAAACCCAGUUAUAUAUUAGGUCUGCCCCAAACCCAGUUAUAUAUUAGGUCUGCCCCAAACCCAGUUAUAUAUUAGGUCUGCCCCAAACCCAGUUAUAUAUUAGGUCUGCCCCAAACCCAGUUAUAUAUUAGGUCUGCCCCAAACCCAGUUAUAUAUUAGGUCUGCCUCAAACCCAGUUAUAUAUUAGGUCUGCCCCAAACCCAGUUAUAUAUUAGGUCUGCCCCAAACCCAGUUAAAUAUUAGGUCUGCCUCAAACCCAGUUAUAUAUUAGGUCUGCCUCAAACCCAGUUAUAUAUUAGGUCUGCCUCAAACCCAGUUAUAUAUUAGGUCUGCCCCAAACCCAGUUAUAUAUUAGGUCUGCCCCAAACCCAGUUAUAUAUUAGGUCUGCCUCAAACCCAGUUAUAUAUUAGGUCUGCCCCAAACCCAGUUAUAUAUUAGGUCUGCCCCAAACCCAGUUAUAUAUUAGGUCUGCCCCAAACCCAGUUAUAUAUUAGGUCUGCCUCAAACCCAGUUAUAUAUUAGGUCUGCCCCAAACCCAGUUAUAUAUUAGGUCUGCCCCAAACCCAGUUAUAUAUUAGGUCUGCCUCAAACCCAGUUAUAUAUUAGGUCUGCCCCAAACCCAGUUAUAUAUUAGGUCUGCCCCAAACCCAGUUAUAUAUUAGGUCUGCCCCAAACCCAGUUAUAUAUUAGGUCUGCCUCAAACCCAGUUAUAUAUUAGGUCUGCCCCAAACCCAGUUAUAUAUUAGGUCUGCCCCAAACCCAGUUAAAUAUUAGGUCUGCCUCAAACCCAGUUAUAUAUUAGGUCUGCCUCAAACCCAGUUAUAUAUUAGGUCUGCCCCAAACCCAGUUAUAUAUUAGGUCUGCCCCAAACCCAGUUAUAUAUUAGGUCUGCCCCAAACCCAGUUAUAUAUUAGGUCUGCCUCAAACCCAGUUAUAUAUUAGGUCUGCCCCAAACCCAGUUAUAUAUUAGGUCUGCCCCAAACCCAGUUAUAUAUUAGGUCUGCCUCAAACCCAGUUAUAUAUUAGGUCUGCCCCAAACCCAGUUAUAUAUUAGGUCUGCCCCAAACCCAGUUAAAUAUUAGGUCUGCCUCAAACCCAGUUAUAUAUUAGGUCUGCCUCAAACCCAGUUAUAUAUUAGGUCUGCCCCAAACCCAGUUAUAUAUUAGGUCUGCCCCAAACCCAGUUAUAUAUUAGGUCUGCCCCAAACCCAGUUAUAUAUUAGGUCUGCCUCAAACCCAGUUAUAUAUUAGGUCUGCCCCAAACCCAGUUAUAUAUUAGGUCUGCCCCAAACCCAGUUAUAUAUUAGGUCUGCCUCAAACCCAGUUAUAUAUUAGGUCUGCCCCAAACCCAGUUAUAUAUUAGGUCUGCCCCAAACCCAGUUAUAUAUUAGGUCUGCCUCAAACCGAGUAAAAACCUUUUCUCACCAACUGUGUUGCAAUCUUUUUGUCCGAAUUAUGAAAAAAUACAGAUUCCUUUUUUUCACGCAGUAAAUAACCAUUCACGCAGUAAAA
Oncorhynchus keta (chum salmon) is the source of this 1929-nucleotide long non-coding RNA. RefSeq lists it as uncharacterized. Lineage: Eukaryota; Metazoa; Chordata; Actinopteri; Salmoniformes; Salmonidae. The transcript is spliced from 3 exons. The record is from RefSeq and is a predicted model, not a curated record.